RNAcentral lists this ribosomal RNA (253 nucleotides) under uncultured bacterium. Its description in RNAcentral is "partial 16S ribosomal RNA". It matches the Rfam family "Bacterial small subunit ribosomal RNA", at positions 524 to 776 of the family's 1533-position model. The record is from RNAcentral.
UACGUAGGGUGCGAGCGUUGUCCGGAAUUAUUGGGCGUAAAGGGCUCGUAGGCGGUUUGUCGCGUCGGGAGUGAAAACUCAGGGCUUAACCCUGAGCCUGCUUCCGAUACGGGCAGACUAGAGGUAUGCAGGGGAGAACGGAAUUCCUGGUGUAGCGGUGAAAUGCGCAGAUAUCAGGAGGAACACCGGUGGCGAAGGCGGUUCUCUGGGCAUUACCUGACGCUGGGGAGCGAAAGUGUGGGGAGCGAACAGG